AAAGUGGAUAGAUUUGAUUUGAUUGCAACCACACAGAAAAAAUGCUAAAACAAA
RNAcentral lists this non-coding RNA (54 nucleotides) under human gut metagenome. The record is from RNAcentral.